AUCAACUUUCGAUGGUAGGAUAGAGGCCUACCAUGGUGGUAACGGGUAACGGGGAAUUAGGGUUCGAUUCCGGAGAGGGAGCCUGAGAAACGGCUACCACAUCCAAAGGAGGCAGCAGGCGCGCAAAUUACCCAAUCCCGACACGGGGAGGUAGUGACAAUAAAUAACAAUACGGGGCUCUUUAGGGUCUCGUAAUUGGAAUGAGUACAAUUUAAAUCCCUUAACGAGGAACAAUUGGAGGGCAAGUCUGGUGCCAGCAGCCGCGGUAAUUCCAGCUCCAAUAGCGUAUAUUAAAGUUGUUGCAGUUAAAAAGCUCGUAGUUGAAUUUCGGGAUUUGCACAUCGGUCGUGCCUUAAGGGGUAUGAACUGGUGUAGUGAAUUUCUCACCUUCUGGAGAACCGUGAUGUCCUUUAUUGGGUGCCACGAGGAACCAGGACCUUUACUUUGAAAAAAUUAGAGUGUUUAAAGCAGGCAUUUUUGCUUGAAUACAUUAGCAUGGAAUAAUAAAAUAGGACGGCAUGAUUCUAUUUUGUUGGUUUCUAGGAUCACCGUAAUGAUUAAUAGGGAUAGUUGGGGGCAUUAGUAUUCAAUUGUCAGAGGUGAAAUUCUUGGAUUUAUUGAAGACUAACUACUGCGAAAGCAUUUGCCAAGGAUGUUUUCAUUAAUCAAGAACGAAAGUUAGGGGAUCGAAGACGAUCAGAUACCGUCGUAGUCUUAACCAUAAACUAUGCCGACUAGGAAUCAGACGAUGUUAAUUCUUUAAUGACUCGUUUGGCACCUUACGGGAAACCAAAGUGUUUGGGUUC
This 806-nucleotide ribosomal RNA is filed under the name uncultured Glomus. RNAcentral's name for it is "SSU rRNA". It matches the Rfam family "Eukaryotic small subunit ribosomal RNA", at positions 314 to 1114 of the family's 1831-position model. Lineage: Eukaryota; Fungi; Glomeromycota; Glomeromycetes; Glomerales; Glomeraceae. The record is from RNAcentral.